Drosophila obscura is the source of this 1728-nucleotide long non-coding RNA. RefSeq lists it as uncharacterized. Lineage: Eukaryota; Metazoa; Arthropoda; Insecta; Diptera; Drosophilidae. The record is from RefSeq and is a predicted model, not a curated record. The transcript has 2 exons.
CUGAACGCAGCAAGCAGCCAGCAGAGCCCCCCGACACGAGACCCGAGUGACCGAGUUGGAGUUCCGAGUUCCGAGCACGAGCACGAGACCAACUACCCAGUCCCCCAGGACUGCCAGUCCUGUCGAUAUGGCAGCACAGAGCACAGAAGCAGUGGGGGUUGCUGUUGUUGUUGGUAACACUGUGCUGUGGAUGUCCUCGUUCCUGUUUCAGGACUCGUUGCGGUUCGACUUCGGGUCGGGUUCGGUUCGGUUUCGGUUUCGGGCUUGGUCCCGCCGCCGCUGCACUCGCUGCGCCAAGAGUUUUGAAGUUUCGAAUCAGUCGCCGCCGACUUGUUGGGUCAUUUGCAUAUAAACGAGACAGCAGCAGCAACCUGCCUGCCAGCCAUCUCUCUCUCUAUCAUCUCCUGUCACCGGAGACCGGAGACAGUGCAAAACAGUCCCUCACGGAGUGCAUUAAUAACCGCAGCAGCCAGUCCAGUAAAUUGUAAAAAUUAAUUAACGAUCAGCGCCUAUCAUAUCAUUUAAUAAUAAUAACGAACCCGCCACUCAGUUCUGACAGUUAAAAGUGAAAGCUCGCACGAAACUUCUUCCGAUCCGCACAGAACUACAAACUAAUGAGAAUUUCAUCAGCUGGCAGAAGGAGAAGAAACGCGAAACAAUAAGUGUUGUGUCGUUGUUUAUUUGCACAGCGGUCGGCCCAAUAAAAAUGCAAUUUUUAUGGUUAGGAAAAUAGAGCGUGGCCACCCCACCACUGCUGCUGCCACUGCUGCUGCAGCACUGCACUGGAUGUUGCAGAGAGAACACCCAACCACCCAACCACCCCCUACCGCAACGUAGCCAACUACCGCUCCAGUAGCAUCGAGCUCUGAUGUAAUACAGAGCAAAAGUGAAGCGGCAAUUGCCAUUGCAACAAAGAAAAAAGAGAUUAUACAAUUUGUAUUGCCGGGCAUCGUGAACUAGGACAGAAGCGGCAGCAAAAGUAGCAGCAAGAGCCACAAACGGAGGCAGAGACUCUGUGAUAAAGACCGGCUGGCAACAGGCUGGCAACGCACACAGACAGACAGCAGGAGGCGGGCAGAGGAACAACUUGCAGCAGCAUUCAAAGUCGGAGCGUGGGAAUUGCAAAUCACAGUUAGGCAGCCACAACGCUCUCGCUUGCUCUCACAGCGCUCACCGCUCUCACAGCGCUCGCCAUACCCUUCCAUAAAAUAUACCCUGUUGUGGGGGGCCUUCCGCUCUCUCCCAGUCUCCCAGUCGGCCAGUCUCGCUUCGCGUAUAUUUGGGGGCGCUUCGGCAGCCCCACACGACAGUUGUGCUUGGAACGCUUCGCAGUGAAGAUCGUGCUCGAUCGGUGCGCGCCCUACACCGCGAGAAAUAAAUCACUUAAAACACACAAACCGAAACCACAUAUUGGCAGUGGGAAUAUCGUAUUAUUUUGUUGAACACGACGACGACGACGACGACGAACUUCGCGUGUAAAUUAGCAAGCGUUCGCAAGAAACAAGAAACAAAAAAAAAUCCGUACCGCGGCACGGCAAACAUUUUCAACCAAAAAAACAACAAAAGUACGAAAAGUUUUGUUGUCGGGAAAAGAUACAACAGAAAUACAACAGAAAUUGGCUGAAAGUUUGUGAAAAAAAAGAUACCAGAAAAGAAACGUUAAAAGCGAGUGAAAUUUGUGUCAUAAGCAAAGCCAAACACACAUAAGCGCAAAGCCGAAACCAAAAC